AUUGAACGCUGGCGGCAGGCCUAACACAUGCAAGUCGAACGAGUGGCGGACGGGUGAGUAAUGUCUGGGAAACUGCCCGAUGGAGGGGUAUAACUACUGGAAACGUUAGCUAAUACCGCAUACCAUCGGAUGUGCCCAGAUGGGAUUAUCUAGUCGGUGGGGUAAAGGCUCACCUAGGCGACGAGCCCUAGCUGGUCUGAGAGGAGGAACCUCCACACUGGAACUGAGACACUGUCCAGAAUCCGACGGGAGGCAGCAGUGGGGAAUAUUGCACAAGGGGCGCAAGCCUGAUGCAGCCAUGCCGCGUGUAGGAAGAAGGCCUUCGGGUUGUAAAGUACUUUCAGCGAGGAUGCGUUACUCGCAGAAGAAGCACCGGCUAACUCCGUGCCAGCAGCCGCGGUAAUAC
This 406-nucleotide ribosomal RNA is filed under the name uncultured bacterium. Its description in RNAcentral is "partial 16S ribosomal RNA". It matches the Rfam family "Bacterial small subunit ribosomal RNA", at positions 30 to 526 of the family's 1533-position model. The record is from RNAcentral.